GAAGGAUCAUAAAGAAAAAUGAACCUUGGGGCUGUUGCUGGCCUAUAUGGGCAUGUGCACGCCUCUGGUCAUUACUAAUUCCACCUGUGCACACUUGUAGACAUUGGGAAUGAGAGACUAUAACCCAGUCCCUUGAGAAAUUGAACUUUCCAAUCUGGGUGUCUAUGCCAUUUUUAAAACACCAGUUGCAUGUUUAUAGAAUGAUGUGAUAUGAUUAUAAUGUAAAAUACAACUUUCAACAACGGAUCUCUUGGCUCUCGCAUCGAUGAAGAACGCAGCGAAAUGCGAUAAGUAAUGUGAAUUGCAGAAUUCAGUGAAUCAUCGAAUCUUUGAACGCACCUUGCGCUCCUUGGUAUUCUGAGGAGCAUGCCUGUUUGAGUGUCAUUAAUAUCUCAAGACCCUGUCUGCUUUUGAUAGGUUUUGGAUUUAUGGGGGUUGCAGGUUUUUCCAAAUAGCUUGCUCUCCUUGAAUGUAUUAGUGGAGGGAAAAAAGUCAUUAAACUCCAUUGGUGUGAUAAUGUAUCAAUGCCAGGAGCAAUGAACAACAGUUCUCUCAGCUAUCUAACCCAACUCUCUGUAGUAAACUUGACCAACUUGACCUCAAAUCAGGUAGGACUACCCGCUGAACUUAAGCAUAUC
Molecule: ribosomal RNA, 638 nt
Filed under: Amanita rimosa
Lineage: Eukaryota; Fungi; Basidiomycota; Agaricomycetes; Agaricales; Amanitaceae
Description: eukaryotic LSU rRNA
Rfam family: 5.8S ribosomal RNA (bases 231-384)
Source: RNAcentral